UACGUAGGGGGCAAGCGUUGUCCGGAAUCAUUGGGCGUAAAGCGCGUGUAGGCGGCCCGAUAAGUCCGCUGUGAAAGUCCAGGGCUCAACCCUGGGAUGCCGGUGGAUACUGUCGGGCUCGAGUCCGGAAGAGGAGUGUGGAAUUCCUGGUGUAGCGGUGAAAUGCGCAGAUAUCGGGAGGAACACCAAUGGCGAAGGCAGCUCGCUGGGACGGUACUGACGCUGAGACGCGAAAGCGUGGGGAGCAAACAGG
This 253-nucleotide ribosomal RNA is filed under the name uncultured bacterium. Its description in RNAcentral is "partial 16S ribosomal RNA". It matches the Rfam family "Bacterial small subunit ribosomal RNA", at positions 524 to 776 of the family's 1533-position model. The record is from RNAcentral.